GACGAACGCUGGCGGCGUGCUUAACACAUGCAAGUCGAACGGAAAGGCCCUGCUUUUGUGGGGUGCUCGAGUGGCGAACGGGUGAGUAACACGUGAGUAACCUGCCCUUGACUUUGGGAUAACUUCAGGAAACUGGGGCUAAUACCGGAUAGGAGCUCCUGCUGCAUGGUGGGGGUUGGAAAGUUUCGGCGGUUGGGGAUGGACUCGCGGCUUAUCAGCUUGUUGGUGGGGUAGUGGCUUACCAAGGCUUUGACGGGUAGCCGGCCUGAGAGGGUGACCGGCCACAUGGGGACUGAGAUACGGCCCAGACUCCUACGGGAGGCAGCAGUGGGGAAUAUUGCACAAUGGGCGGAAGCCUGAUGCAGCAACGCCGCGUGCGGGAUGACGGCCUUCGGGCUGUAAACCGCUUUCGCCUGUGACGAAGCGUGAGUGACGGUAAUGGGUAAAGAAGCACCGGCUAACUACGUG
This 468-nucleotide ribosomal RNA is filed under the name uncultured bacterium. Its description in RNAcentral is "partial 16S ribosomal RNA". It matches the Rfam family "Bacterial small subunit ribosomal RNA", at positions 28 to 507 of the family's 1533-position model. The record is from RNAcentral.